CUGUUUGGAGCUUUGUUUUUUGUGUGCAAUUUGUGAGUGUAACAGGAUGGCUAUACACUUCUUACUAAGAAGCAGUUUAACAUUCCAAUGCUUGCCAUGGGCUGCCACAUCUAUAAUAAGAUUUGGUGAGGGGAUAGUUCAGUGGUCAGGUCUGGAUCUCUCCUGAAAAAAUCUGGCGAUGUGGGACUCAGAAUUAAACAUGAAUAGCAGGCUUCCAUGUGGAUAUCUAACCAAAGGCCACACAUUGCAAAACCAUUCAUGGCAGCCAUUGCAAAUACAAAUUUUUGUCCUAAAUAAUCACUAUUGUAAUUUAAAACAUUGUAAGUAUAAUUAUUGUAAGUUAGAGAUCACAUGCACAAUAAAACUUCUUCGAUCAAUAUGAUCAGGAUGAAAAUAGGGUAAAAUAUUUGAAUAUGUCAAACUAACCAGAAUCUUUAGUUAUUUAAUUGAUAAAAUUUCAUAAUUACUCAAAUAGCAAAAUAUUUAAAAUAUUAAUAAAUAUUUUUUCUAUGUUUGUUUAGAUUUAAAGAUAUACAGUGAAACCCCGAUUUUGAAACUUUUUGGGGACCGGCCCAAAAAGUCGAACGAGCCGGGAAAACGCAUAAAACGGGAAACUCUGAUGACGAC
Molecule: long non-coding RNA, 627 nt
Filed under: Androctonus crassicauda
Lineage: Eukaryota; Metazoa; Arthropoda; Arachnida; Scorpiones; Buthidae
Source: RNAcentral